RNAcentral lists this ribosomal RNA (229 nucleotides) under uncultured bacterium. RNAcentral's name for it is "partial 16S ribosomal RNA". It matches the Rfam family "Bacterial small subunit ribosomal RNA", at positions 568 to 796 of the family's 1533-position model. The record is from RNAcentral.
UGCGUAGGCGGGCUAGUAAGUCAGUGGUGAAAUCCCUCAGCUUAACUGAGGAACUGCCAUUGAUACUGUUAGUCUUGAGUAUAGUAGAGGUGGGCGGAAUGUGUCAUGUAGCGGUGAAAUGCAUAGAUAUGACACAGAACACCGAUUGCGUAGGCAGCUCACUAAACUAUCACUGACGCUGAUGCACGAAAGCGUGGGUAGCGAACAGGAUUAGAUACCCUGGUAGUCC